RNAcentral lists this ribosomal RNA (253 nucleotides) under uncultured bacterium. RNAcentral describes it as "partial 16S ribosomal RNA". It matches the Rfam family "Bacterial small subunit ribosomal RNA", at positions 524 to 776 of the family's 1533-position model. The record is from RNAcentral.
UACGUAGGUGGCAAGCGUUGUCCGGAAUUAUUGGGCGUAAAGCGCGCGCAGGCGGCCUUUUAAGUCUGAUGUGAAAGCCCACGGCUCAACCGUGGAAGGUCAUUGGAAACUGAAGGGCUUGAGUACAGAAGAGGAAAGCAGAAUUCCACGUGUAGCGGUGAAAUGCGUAGAGAUGUGGAGGAACACCAGUGGCGAAGGCGGCUUUCUGGUCUGUAACUGACGCUGAGGCGCGAAAGCGUGGGGAGCAAACAGG